GUAGGGAAUCUACCACAAUGGACGAAAGUCUGAUGGAGCAACGCCGCGUGAAGGAAGAAGGUUUUCGGAUCGUAAACUUCUAUCCUUGGUGAAGAUAAUGACGGUAGCCAAGAAGGAAGCCCCGGCUAACUACGUGCCAGCAGCCGCGGUAAUACGUAGGGGGCAAGCGUUGUCCGGAAUGAUUGGGCGUAAAGGGCGCGUAGGCGGCCUGGUAAGUCUGGAGUGAAAGUCCUGCUUUUAAGGUGGGAAUUGCUUUGGAUACUGUCGGGCUUGAGUGCAGGAGAGGUAAGCGGAAUUCCCGGUGUAGCGGUGAAAUGCGUAGAGAUCGGGAGGAACACCAGUGGCGAAGGCGGCUUACUGGACUGUAACUGACGCUGAGGCGCGAAAGUGUGGGGAGCAAACAGGAUUAGAUACCCCAGUAGUCC
This 425-nucleotide ribosomal RNA is filed under the name uncultured bacterium. RNAcentral describes it as "partial 16S ribosomal RNA". It matches the Rfam family "Bacterial small subunit ribosomal RNA", at positions 354 to 796 of the family's 1533-position model. The record is from RNAcentral.